AACGAACGCUGGCGGCAUGCCUAACACAUGCAAGUCGAACGAGACCUUCGGGUCUAGUGGCGCACGGGUGCGUAACGCGUGGGAACCUGCCCUUAGGUUCGGAAUAACUCCCCGAAAGGGGUGCUAAUACCGGAUAAUGUCUUCGGACCAAAGAUUUAUCGCCUUUGGAUGGGCCCGCGUUGGAUUAGCUAGUUGGUAGGGUAAAAGCCUACCAAGGCGACGAUCCAUAGCUGGUCUGGGAGGAUGAUCAGCCACACUGGGACUGAGACACGGCCCAGACUCCUACGGGAGGCAGCAGUGGGGAAUAUUGGACAAUGGGCGAAAGCCUGAUCCAGCAAUGCCGCGUGAGUGAUGAAGGCCUUAGGGUUGUAAAGCUCUUUUACCCGGGAUGAUAAUGACAGUACCGGGAGAAUAAGCUCCGGCUAACUCCG
Molecule: ribosomal RNA, 431 nt
Filed under: uncultured bacterium
Lineage: Bacteria
Description: partial 16S ribosomal RNA
Rfam family: Bacterial small subunit ribosomal RNA
Source: RNAcentral